RNAcentral lists this ribosomal RNA (506 nucleotides) under uncultured bacterium. Its description in RNAcentral is "partial 16S ribosomal RNA". It matches the Rfam family "Bacterial small subunit ribosomal RNA", at positions 30 to 523 of the family's 1533-position model. The record is from RNAcentral.
AUUGAACGCUGGCGGCAUGCCUUACAAAUGCAAGUCGAACGGCAGCACAGGAGAGCUUGCUCUCUGGGUGGCGAGUGGCGGACGGGUGAGGAAUACAUCGGAAUCUACUUUUUCGUGGGGGAUAACGUAGGGAAACUUACGCUAAUACCGCAUACGACCUACGGGUGAAAGCAGGGGACCUUCGGGCCUUGCGCGAUUGAAUGAGCCGAUGUCGGAUUAGCUAGUUGGCGGGGUAAAGGCCCACCAAGGCGACGAUCCGUAGCUGGUCUGAGAGGAUGAUCAGCCACACUGGAACUGAGACACGGUCCCGACUCCUACGGGAGGCAGCAGUGGGGAAUAUUGGACAAGUGGCGCAAGCCUGAUCCAGCCAUACCGCGUGGGUGAAGCAGGCCUUCGGGUUGAAAAGCCCUUUUGUUGGGAAAGAAAUCCAGCUGGCUAAUACCCGGUUGGGAUGACGGUACCCAAAGAAUAAGCACCGGCUAACUUCGUGCCAGCCGCCGCCGUAA